AUCCUUUUCUGGUUCAUAAGAAUGAUGAUUGGGCCUUCACACAUUUGUGUGACAUGAGCCUCCCUUAAAUCUUAUUGCAUACUUGGCACAUUACCCCUCUGAUA
Molecule: small nucleolar RNA, 104 nt
Organism: Sorex araneus (European shrew)
Lineage: Eukaryota; Metazoa; Chordata; Mammalia; Eulipotyphla; Soricidae
Source: Ensembl